Molecule: ribosomal RNA, 696 nt
Filed under: uncultured bacterium
Lineage: Bacteria
Description: bacterial SSU rRNA
Rfam family: Bacterial small subunit ribosomal RNA
Source: RNAcentral
AACGCUAGCUACAGGCUUAACACAUGCAAGUCGAGGGGAAACGAUAUUGGAAGCUUGCUUCCGACAGGCGUCGACCGGCGCACGGGUGAGUAACGCGUAUCCAACCUGCCCACCACUUGGGGAUAACCUUGCGAAAGUAAGACUAAUACCCAAUGAUAUCUCUAGAAGACAUCUGAAAGAGAUUAAAGAUUCAUCGGUGAUGGAUGGGGAUGCGUCUGAUUAGCUUGUUGGCGGGGUAACGGCCCACCAAGGCAACGAUCAGUAGGGGUUCUGAGAGGAAGGUCCCCCACAUUGGAACUGAGACACGGUCCAAACUCCUACGGGAGGCAGCAGUGAGGAAUAUUGGUCAAUGGACGAGAGUCUGAACCAGCCAAGUAGCGUGCAGGAUGACGGCCCUAUGGGUUGUAAACUGCUUUUAUAAGGGAAUAAAGUGGGUCUCGUGAGACUUUUUGCAUGUACCUUAUGAAUAAGGACCGGCUAAUUCCGUGCCAGCAGCCGCGGUAAUACGGAAGGUCCGGGCGUUAUCCGGAUUUAUUGGGUUUAAAGGGAGCGUAGGCCGGAGAUUAAGCGUGUUGUGAAAUGUAGAUGCUCAACAUCUGCACUGCAGCGCGAACUGGUUUCCUUGAGUACGCACAAAGUGGGCGGAAUUCGUGGUGUAGCGGUGAAAUGCUUAGAUAUCACGAAGAACUCCGAUUG